RNAcentral lists this ribosomal RNA (253 nucleotides) under uncultured bacterium. Its description in RNAcentral is "partial 16S ribosomal RNA". It matches the Rfam family "Bacterial small subunit ribosomal RNA", at positions 524 to 776 of the family's 1533-position model. The record is from RNAcentral.
UACGUAGGGACCGAGCGUUGUCCGGAUUCAUUGGGCGUAAAGAGCUCGUAGGCGGCUGCUCAAGUCGAAUGUGAAAACUCGAGGCUCAACCUCGAGCCUGCAUUCGAUACUGGGCGGCUAGAGUCUGGUAGGGGGAUCUGGAAUUCCUGGUGUAGCGGUGGAAUGCGCAGAUAUCAGGAGGAACACCGGUGGCGAAGGCGGGAUCCUGGGCCAGUACUGACGCUGGGGAGCGAAAGCGUGGGGAGCAAACAGG